RNAcentral lists this ribosomal RNA (495 nucleotides) under uncultured bacterium. Its description in RNAcentral is "partial 16S ribosomal RNA". It matches the Rfam family "Bacterial small subunit ribosomal RNA", at positions 28 to 507 of the family's 1533-position model. The record is from RNAcentral.
GAUGAACGCUGGCGGCGUGCCUAAUACAUGCAAGUCGAGCGAACGGACGAGAGGCUUGCUUCUCUGAUGUUAGCGGCGGACGGGUGAGUAACACGUGGAUAACCUACCUAUAAGACUGGGAUAACUUCGGGAAACCGGAGCUAAUACCGGAUAAUAUUUUGAACCGCAUGGUUCAAAAGUGAAAGACGGUCUUGCUGUCACUUAUAGAUGGAUCCGCGCUGCAUUAGCUAGUUGGUAAGGUAACGGCUUACCAAGGCAACGAUGCAUAGCCGACCUGAGGGUGAUCGGCCACACUGGAACUGAGACACGGUCCAGACUCCUACGGGAGGCAGCAGUAGGGAAUCUUCCGCAAUGGGCGAAAGCCUGACGGAGCAACGCCGCGUGAGUGAUGAAGGUCUUCGGAUCGUAAAACUCUGUUAUUAGGGAAGAACAUAUGUGUAAGUAACUGUGCACAUCUUGACGGUACCUAAUCAGAAAGCCACGGCUAACUACGUG